This 468-nucleotide ribosomal RNA is filed under the name uncultured bacterium. Its description in RNAcentral is "partial 16S ribosomal RNA". It matches the Rfam family "Bacterial small subunit ribosomal RNA", at positions 28 to 508 of the family's 1533-position model. The record is from RNAcentral.
GACGAACGCUGGCGGCGUGCUUAACACAUGCAAGUCGAACGGAAAGGCCCUGCUUUUGUGGGGUGCUCGAGUGGCGAACGGGUGAGUAACACGUGAGUAACCUGCCCUUGACUUUGGGAUAACUUCAGGAAACUGGGGCUAAUACCGGAUAGGAGCUCCUGCUGCAUGGUGGGGGUUGGAAAGUUUCGGCGGUUGGGGAUGGACUCGCGGCUUAUCAGCUUGUUGGUGGGGUAGUGGCUUACCAAGGCUUUGACGGGUAGCCGGCCUGAGAGGGUGACCGGCCCCAUGGGGAAUGAGAGCCGCCCAAGCCUCAUCGGGGAGGAAGGGGGGGGAAAUAUGGAAGAAGGGGGGAAGGCUGUAGGCAGCACCCCCGGGUGGGGGAUGGCGGCCUUGGGUUGUAAACCCGUUUGCGCCGGUGAAGAAGGGGGGGUGAGGGUAAGGGAUAAAGAAGCCCGGGCAAACUACGGC